This 950-nucleotide small RNA is filed under the name uncultured Mortierella. Its description in RNAcentral is "eukaryotic LSU rRNA". The stretch from base 666 to 950 matches the Rfam family "Eukaryotic large subunit ribosomal RNA", at positions 1 to 281 of the family's 3401-position model. The record is from RNAcentral. Lineage: Eukaryota; Fungi; Mortierellomycota; Mortierellomycetes; Mortierellales; Mortierellaceae.
CUUGGUCAUUUAGAGGAAGUAAAAGUCGUAACAAGGUUUCCGUAGGUGAACCUGCGGAAGGAUCAUUCAUAAUCAAAGUGUUUUUAUGGCACUUUUAAAAAAAAUCCAUAUCCACCUUGUGUGCAAUGUCAUCUCACUGGAGGCCAGCUGGCUGUCAAAAGCCCGUUUGGUCGCCUUUGGGAUUUAUAUCUACUCAGAACUUUAGUGAUUUUGUCUGAAAAAUAUUAUGAAUAACUUAAUUCAAAAUACAACUUUCAACAACGGAUCUCUUGGCUCUCGCAUCGAUGAAGAACGCAGCGAAAUGCGAUACGUAAUGUGAAUUGCAGAAUUCAGUGAAUCAUCGAAUCUUUGAACGCAUAUUGCGCUCUCUGGUAUUCCGGAGAGCAUGCUUGUUUGAGUAUCAGUAAACACCUCAACUCCCUUUUUUUCUUUUUUGAAAUGAGGGAGCUGGACUUGAGUGAUCCCAACACUUUUCUUCACUGAAAAGUGGCGGGUCACUUGAAAUGCAGGUGCAGCUGGACUUUUCUCUGAGCUAUAAGCAUAUCUAUUUAGUCUGCCUAAAAAACAGAUUAUUACCUUUGCUGCAGCUAACAUAAAGGAGAUGAGUUCUUGUGCUGACUGAUGCAGGAUUCACAGAGACAGCUUCGCGGCUGACUUUGUAAACUCGAUCUCAAAUCAAGUAAGACUACCCGCUGAACUUAAGCAUAUCAAUAAGCGGAGGAAAAGAAACUAACAAGGAUUCCCCUAGUAACGGCGAGUGAAGCAGGAUGAGCUCAAAUUUAAAAUCUGGCUGGUUUACUAGUCCGAAUUGUAGUUUAAAGAAGCGUUUUCGGUGGCAGCCUGGGUAUAAAUCCUUUGGAACAGGGUAUCAUAGAGGGUGAGAAUCCCGUCUUUGACUCAGUGCAUGCUACUAUGUGAUACGUUUUCAARDUGUCGAGUUGUUUGGGAAU